This 399-nucleotide ribosomal RNA is filed under the name uncultured bacterium. RNAcentral describes it as "bacterial SSU rRNA". It matches the Rfam family "Bacterial small subunit ribosomal RNA", at positions 29 to 453 of the family's 1533-position model. The record is from RNAcentral.
AACGAACGCUGGCGGCAGGCCUCAAACAUGCAAGUCUAGGGGGUGUAGCAAUACAUCACCGGCGGACGGGUGCGUAACGCGUGGGAAUGUACCUAUUGGUUCGGAACAACUGAGGGAAACUUCAGCUAAUACCGGAUGAGCCCGAAAGGGGAAAGAUUUCUCGCCAAUAGAUCAGCCCGCGUCCGAUUAGCUAGUUGGUGGGGUUAAAGCCUACCAAGGCGACGAUCGGUAGCUGUUCUGAGAGGAAGAUCAGCCACACUGGGACUGAGACACGGCCCAGACUCCUACGGGAGGCAGCAGUUGGGAAUAUUGCACAAUGGGCGAAAGCCUGAUGCAGCGACGCCGCGUGAGGGAUGACUGCCUUCGGGUUGUAAACCUCUUUCAGCAGGGACGAAGACG